Molecule: ribosomal RNA, 253 nt
Filed under: uncultured bacterium
Lineage: Bacteria
Description: partial 16S ribosomal RNA
Rfam family: Bacterial small subunit ribosomal RNA
Source: RNAcentral
UACAGAGGGGGCAAGCGUUGUUCGGAAUUACUGGGCGUAAAGGGCGCGUAGGUGGCCUUCUAAGUUGAACGUGAAAUCCCUGGGCUCAACCCAGGAACUGCGUCCAAGACUGGGAGGCUUGAAUCCGGGAGAGGGAUGCGGAAUUCCAGGUGUAGCAGUGAAAUGCGUGGAUAUCGAUAGGAACACUCGUGGCGAAGGCGAGCUACUGGACAACAUCUGACGCUGAGGCUCGAAGGCCAGGGGAGCAAAAGGG